AUACUGGGACCGUGACCGGGUCACGGGACCGACCGGACGGGUCAACGACACUGCCUAAAAUACUGGGUCAGGAGUAGCUCAACAGAGAGGGAAGAGAAACUAACGCCCUUAAAUUUUGAACAACUUCCCCCCUUCCCGGUUCGGCGGUUCCCACGAAUAAGGACUCCAGGUCCAGGGACAGGGAGGGGGAGAACACAGAGAGAGAUGUCACGUCGGCGGCUGCUUCUGUUGUUGAAGCCAUUCAAUGUCUACCCAUCCAGAUACAAGGAUGAACUAUCUCGCCCCAUAAACCCUCAGAUUUUAGGUUAUCUGGAGAAUAGGUGUAAGGUUCAUAAGGAUGCCAUAAACAUUUGUCAAGAUAUUCUGCAGCGCAAGUCAGUUGAUUGGAAGCCCAUUUUACGUAAUGAUCUUGUGCAACCAAUCCACAAUGUUGAUCUGGUUGUUACUGUUGGUGGUGAUGGCACACUUUUGCAGGCCAGUCAUUUCAUGGAUGACUCAAUUCCUGUUCUAGGGGUGAACUCUGAUCCCACACAAGUCGAAGAGGUGGAAGAGUUCAGUGACGAGUUUGAUGCUAGAAGGAGCACUGGCUAUCUUUGUGCAGCAACUGUCAAAAACUUUGAACAAGUUUUAGAUGAGAUCCUGGGUGGUCACAAGACUCCUGCUAAAUUAUCAAGGAUAUCAGUUUGUGUAAACAGUCAUCUUCUACCAACUUAUGCCCUGAAUGACAUUCUAAUUGCACACCCAUGUCCAGCAGCAGUUUCUCGGUUCUCAUUUAGAAUCAAAAGGGAUGACCAAGAAUGUACCCCUUUGGUGAACUGCCGAUCAAGUGGUUUGAGAGUCUCCUCUGCUGCUGGAUCAACUGCUGCCAUGCUCUCUGCAGGAGGAUUUCCAAUGCCUGUUGCAUCACAGAAACUCCAAUAUAUGCUGAUGUGGCAAACUGUAGUUCUGAUCCAAUGCACCCCGGACUAUCCAAAAGACAAAAACCGUCCACCCAAUAACCCUAAGCAGUCUAAGUGCUUAUGAGAGGAGAAUACAGUCGCCAUCAUCUACUUGCACAGACUCCUUAUUCACACACUGUUGUAAACGCUGUGACAUGAUUUCCAGUGACAAGGACAGUGCGGCAAACAAUGAAGAUGGUUAUUGGCUGCAGUGGUGAUGGGGAGGUCUCUUUUAGCUUUUGGGUUGAAGCCUAAAGAAAAGAUGAUAAAUUUUAGGGAGAAUGACUGUUCAGCCUAGGGUUAGAAUUUUUAGGCCCAAAGUACAAUUCGGGUAGGUUCCAGCUCGAAAAUGAUGCCAAUUCAUGGGCGGGUAUUAAUGUAUAGAGUGGGGUUUGACAUUUUGAAUGCUUAUAGUUUUAUAGUGGGAUUCUGAAAUCUGCAAUGGGCCUGUUAGUACU
This is an RNA transcript of Nelumbo nucifera (sacred lotus), 1396 nucleotides long. It is a transcript of the gene named NAD(H) kinase 3, with no coding region annotated. Lineage: Eukaryota; Viridiplantae; Streptophyta; Magnoliopsida; Proteales; Nelumbonaceae. The record is from RefSeq and is a predicted model, not a curated record.